RNAcentral lists this ribosomal RNA (403 nucleotides) under bacterium. RNAcentral's name for it is "partial 16S ribosomal RNA". It matches the Rfam family "Bacterial small subunit ribosomal RNA", at positions 355 to 776 of the family's 1533-position model. The record is from RNAcentral.
UGGGGAAUAUUGCACAAUGGGGGAAACCCUGAUGCAGCGACGCCGCGUGAACGAAGAAGGUAUUCGUAUCGUAAAGUUCUGUCCUAUGGGAAGAUAAAGACAGUACCAUAGAAGAAAGCUCCGGCUAAAUACGUGCCAGCAGCCGCGGUAAUACGUAUGGAGCGAGCGUUGUCCGGAAUUAUUGGGCGUAAAGGGUACGCAGGCGGUUUAAUAAGUCGAAUGUUAAAGAUCGGGGCUCAACCCCGCAAAGCAUUGGAAACUGAUAAACUUGAGUAGUGGAGAGGAAAGUGGAAUUCCUAGUGUAGUGGUGAAAUACGUAGAUAUUAGGAGGAAUACCAGUAGCGAAGGCGACUUUCUGGACACAAACUGACGCUGAGGUACGAAAGCGUGGGGAGCAAACAGG